RNAcentral lists this ribosomal RNA (460 nucleotides) under uncultured bacterium. RNAcentral describes it as "partial 16S ribosomal RNA". It matches the Rfam family "Bacterial small subunit ribosomal RNA", at positions 338 to 795 of the family's 1533-position model. The record is from RNAcentral.
CCUACGGGAGGCAGCAGUGAGGAAUAUUGGUCAAUGGGCGCUAGCCUGAACCAGCCACGUAGCGUGAAGGAUGACUGCCCUAUGGGUUGUAAACUUCUUUUAUAUGGGAAUAAAGUGCAGUAUGUAUACUGCUUUGCAUGUACCUUAUGAAUAAGGAUCGGCUAACUCCGUGCCAGCAGCCGCGGUAAUACGGAGGAUCCGAGCGUUAUCCGGAUUUAUUGGGGUUAAAGGGAGCGUAGGCGGGUUGUUAAGUCAGUUGUGAAAGUUUGCGGCUCAACCUUAAAAUUGCAGUUGAUACUGGUAUCCUUGAGUACAGUAGAGGUAGGCGGAAUUCGGGGUGUAGCGGUGAAAUGCUUAGAUAUCACGAAGAACUCCGAUUGCGAAGGCAGCCUGCUGGACUGUAACUGACGCUGAUGCUCGAAAGUGUGGGUAGCAAACAGGAUUAGAUACCCGAGUAGUC